Molecule: long non-coding RNA, 2158 nt
Organism: Equus asinus (donkey)
Lineage: Eukaryota; Metazoa; Chordata; Mammalia; Perissodactyla; Equidae
Source: Ensembl
UACUAACAACCGCCCUGGAGGCCUGUGAGAAGGCCGUGAGCUCACAGAGGGCUGGGGUCCGCAUUUCUGAGGUGGCAGGCCUGCCUAGGGAUGGGACGGGAACAAGCUCUCUCUGAAAACCUCGCCCACUGGAGCCCUUAGUCAGCGGGUUACUUCCUCGGCUUGGCUCCAAAGGAGAGGAUCCGCAAGCAGCGGGUCAUCCAUUAGCAGAUGAGGAAACUGAGACCCGGAGCAAGACAUUCGUUCCUCCCUGUCCUGGCUCAAGAACCCUCCUUCGAUGUCUUGUGGUCUCGGCCGGGGUCAGUUCAUUCAUUGGUCCAGCAGCUGUCUGGAGGCCAGGUGCGUGCCAGGUUCUGAGCCCAGGGGGAGGGCCAUGUGCACAGCGUGCCCUCCUCGCCCUGUGGAGCUUACAGCCUGGCUCUAGGCAGUACACACCGUUGAGUUAUUGAAUAAAGGGAUGCAUUUCUUCGGGACAUGGUCCAAGGUCCUGGAAACUUCCUAACAAAGCAUUCGCCAGCCUUGGGACUUCACGGUUGAACAGAUGCCGCAGAGCCAUAGUUGGGGGAAAAAGACAAUUUGCUUCCCAUCCACCCCCCACCCCUCUCCACACCCUGGACAAAUUUUCCUGGAGCCACCCCGGUGCUCUUGGCCAGCGUAGGAAAGAGCAGGAAUCCAGGUGAAGGUCAGCGUGGCUUCCCAAGAGUCUUAAAUCCACCUAGGCAUCAGGGACAAGGCUUGAUCCAGCUGGUCUCCUCGCCUUAUUUCCCAAUACAGACUAAUAUCUGCGAAUAAUUGAGUGAAUCCUGUUCCCUUUGACCUCACUUUUUCAAGUGAUUCCAACGUAGUAGCCAUGAUCCAAAAUUACGAUACGAAGAAGUGAGGGAACAUGGAGAUCAAGAUAGUUCAACGCCCUUGCCAUCUGUUGAUGAAUGCAGCUCCUUGGAGCAGAAAGAUCUUAGGACCUAUGGCACCGAGGGGUUCCCCAAAUCCAGCCUGACCUGUCUGUGAAACCCCCAAGCCCUGGUGCUAAGCUGACCUGGAUUGCGGUCCCAACUCUAGCCAGCUGUGUGACGUUGGCCGUUCAUUCAGCCCCUCUGAGCCUCAGUUUCCUUAUCUAUAAAAGGGAGCCAGGAACCCUGCCUCCCAGCUGGCAGUGGAGGUCGGAGAUGCUAAGGGGAGCCCGCGCUAGCUGGAAUAACUGAGCCACAGAAGUCCCUGGAUCAAGGUGCCCCAGCUCCCGACUGCCUUUUGGCCACUUCUGGCCAUGCUGUUUGUUGUUUAAUGUCUGCGCUGGGUUAAACAGUGUUCCCCAAAAGGUCAUGUCCACCCAGAACCUCUGAAGAUGACUGUAUUGGGAAAUAGAGUCUUUGCAGAUAUAAUUCAGGUAAGAAGCAAGGUGAGAUCAUGGAUUAGGGUGGGCCCAAAAUCCAGUGACAGUGUCCUCAGGAGAGACAGAAAAGAACAAGCAAAGACUCAGGGGAAAAGCUCCAGUGAAGACCCUGGCAGAGGUUUGGAGCCAACGAGCCCCCAGGAGCUGGAAGAGGCGGGAAGGACCCUCCCCUAGCGCAUCCAGAGCGGGCGCGGCCCUGCCCACACCUUGACUUUGGACUUCUGGCCUCCCAACUGGGAGAGGUGGAUUCCCGCUGUGUCAGGCCACCAAGUUUGUGUUUAUGUGUUUCAGCAACCCCAGGACACUCACGCAGGGUCAUUUCCCCCUCAAUUUCAGUCGCGCUCAAUUGAAAGCAGUUCAACAGAUGUUAAAUCCCUACCCUGCGGGACAGAUCCAACUGAGGGUUUGGAGACCUCUAAGGAGAAUGAGACCCAUUCUCUCUACUCAAAGGAACUGGGGACGCGAAUGCCUCUCCCUGAAGCGGCCGGGCAGCCCAUCCACAGGAGUUUUUCCUUCUGUGUCCUGCUGCCUUCCCAGAAGCCGCCAGGGGCCCCCAGGGGAGAGGGUGGCUGCUGACCAUCAGCCCCUCCACACACUGUCUCUCAGGCCUGGCCUGAGGCUUUGGUUUUCUCAGCUUCUUAUCUGCUCCACCUGCCACCGCCCCACCCCCAGGCUCCUUCCCUAAGGCGACUCCAGCUCUGCAGAAAGUGACCCCUGGCUUCCAGCCGGACGUGAGCCCGUCUCCACCUCUGCUUUGACAUCGGCUGC